RNAcentral lists this transfer RNA (76 nucleotides) under Bacillota bacterium. RNAcentral's name for it is "tRNA-Ala". It matches the Rfam family "tRNA". Rfam says of the family: Transfer RNA (tRNA) molecules are approximately 80 nucleotides in length. The record is from RNAcentral. Lineage: Bacteria; Bacillati; Bacillota.
GGGCGAUUAGCUCAGCUGGGAGAGCGCUGCGUUCGCAACGCAGAGGUCGAGAGUUCGAGCCUCUUAUCGUCCACCA